CCUGGCUGCAGGUUCGGCAGACGCUCGGCACUCUCUGCAGGGUUGUGCAAAUUGUUCCACCGUGCAGGCGCUGGCAGGUCGGACUGCGUGUUUGCUCGUUUUGUCCCGGAGCUAUGCCACGCUGAGGUCCCGACUGCCCUGACCCGUUUUGGACUGCUGCUGCUUUGUGUGGGGAUAAAACCCACACUUUUUACGGACCUUGCCUGCUGCUGCGUUCGGGUGCUGAGGGCCUCACUGGUGAUCCUGUUUGGUGAUGGUGUCCCUUCGUGUGUAGUGUCUUAUUCACUCCCCUCCUUUGUUUUGCUUUGCCCUUGUGUGUUUGGAGUGUUAAUUUUGGAUUGUGGUGCUCCCAUUUUAAGUUUAUACUUUCACCCCUCACUCACCUUGAGCACAACUGCCCCAGCCCUGGAAUACAUGAUAAUUUAUACAAAUAGGAUAACUUUUUUUAGAUUUGAAUUGUGCCCAAUAAACUGUUGUAUAUGCUUUUGGAAACACGUCUCUCGCCUGCUCAGUGUAACGAACUUGUGUUGUCCUUUUGUUUAGAUUUAGUAAUUUACCUUAUUCAUAGAUUUCUUUCUUUUCCCUGGGUGAUUUCUCCCAGGGUGGCGUUGCUGGUUUCCUUUAGUUUUUCUUUUUCCCCUAGUUAAAAACAUAGAUUAUUGGGGUAGUUCCUACCCCACCUCACGCUUGCCACAUGAACAUAAG
Long non-coding RNA from Gasterosteus aculeatus aculeatus (three-spined stickleback), 705 nucleotides. Lineage: Eukaryota; Metazoa; Chordata; Actinopteri; Perciformes; Gasterosteidae. The record is from Ensembl.